GUGGGGAAUCUUAGACAAUGGGGGAAACCCUGAUCUAGCCAUGCCGCGUGAUCGAUGAAGGCCUUAGGGUUGUAAAGAUCUUUCAGGUGGGAAGAUAAUGACUGUACCACCAGAAGAAGCCCCGGCUAACUCCGUGCCAGCAGCCGCGGUAAUACGGAGGGGGCUAGCGUUGUUCGGAAUUACUGGGCGUAAAGCGCACGUAGGCGGAUCGGAAAGUUGGGGGUGAAAUCCCGGGGCUCAACCCCGGAACUGCCUUCAAAACUCCCAGUCUUGAGUUCGAGAGAGGUGAGUGGAAUUCCGAGUGUAGAGGUGAAAUUCGUAGAUAUUCGGAGGAACACCAGUGGCGAAGGCGGCUCACUGGCUCGAUACUGACGCUGAGGUGCGAAAGCGUGGGGAGCAAACAGGAUUAGAAACCCUUGUAGUCC
Molecule: ribosomal RNA, 425 nt
Filed under: uncultured bacterium
Lineage: Bacteria
Description: partial 16S ribosomal RNA
Rfam family: Bacterial small subunit ribosomal RNA
Source: RNAcentral